AAAACCCUAAAAAUGGGUUUUAGAGUCUUUGCUGUACUGUCUCAGGAGCAGUGAACUACCCCUUUUACUCAUAUCCUAUCCUAAAAUAUAAUCUGCUCUUCUCUAUUUUCAAAAUUUGAUCCAAGGAGGAAGACACUAGCGAUUUUUCAACAUGGAGGUGGAAUACCCAGUUAAGGACCUUGACAAUGAUGUAAGCGAAGAGGAGGAAGAAGAAGAAGAA
Molecule: unclassified non-coding RNA, 220 nt
Filed under: Hevea brasiliensis (rubber tree)
Lineage: Eukaryota; Viridiplantae; Streptophyta; Magnoliopsida; Malpighiales; Euphorbiaceae
Source: RNAcentral